Molecule: ribosomal RNA, 497 nt
Filed under: uncultured bacterium
Lineage: Bacteria
Description: partial 16S ribosomal RNA
Rfam family: Bacterial small subunit ribosomal RNA
Source: RNAcentral
GAUGAACGCUGGCGGCGUGCCUAAUACAUGCAAGUCGAGCGAACAGACGAGGAGCUUGCUCCUCUGACGUUAGCGGCGGACGGGUGAGUAACACGUGGAUAACCUACCUAUAAGACUGGGAUAACUUCGGGAAACCGGAGCUAAUACCGGAUAAUAUAUUGAACCGCAUGGUUCAAUAGUGAAAGACGGUUUUGCUGUCACUUAUAGAUGGAUCCGCGCCGCAUUAGCUAGUUGGUAAGGUAACGGCUUACCAAGGCAACGAUGCGUAGCCGACCUGAGAGGGGGAUCGGCCACAAUGGAACUGAGACACGGUCCAGACUCCUACGGGAGGCAGCAGUAGGGAAUCUUGGCCAAUGGGCGAAAGCCUGAAGGAGGCACGCCGCGUGGGUGAAGAAGGGCUUCGGAUUGUAAAACCCUUUUUUUGGGGAAGAAAAAAAGGGUGAGUAAACCUGGCCGUUUUGACGGUACCCAAUGAAAAAGCCCCGGCUAACUUCGUG